UGUCCAGCAACUCCUAUCCCUACCUCCUCGCGGUACUGGCCGGGGUACGCGUAACCUUGGGGAAGA
RNAcentral lists this ribozyme (66 nucleotides) under Aedes aegypti (yellow fever mosquito). RNAcentral describes it as "drz-agam-1 ribozyme". It matches the Rfam family "drz-agam-1 ribozyme". Lineage: Eukaryota; Metazoa; Arthropoda; Insecta; Diptera; Culicidae. The record is from Rfam by way of RNAcentral.